AACGAACGCUGGCGGCAUGCCUAACACAUGCAAGUCGAACGAGACCUUCGGGUCUAGUGGCGCACGGGUGCGUAACGCGUGGGAACCUGCCCUUAGGUUCGGAAUAACUCCCCGAAAGGGGUGCUAAUACCGGAUAAUGUCUUCGGACCAAAGAUUUAUCGCCUUUGGAUGGGCCCGCGUUGGAUUAGCUAGUUGGUAGGGUAAAAGCCUACCAAGGCGACGAUCCAUAGCUGGUCUGAGAGGAUGAUCAGCCACACUGGGACUGAGACACGGCCCAGACUCCUAGGGGAGGAAGAAGGGGGAAAUAUUGAAAAAUGGGGAAACGCCUGACACAGCAUCGCCGCGUGAGAGAUAAGGGCUUUGGGGUUGAAAGGCUUUUUUCCCGGGGAUUAUAGGGACAGGCCGGGAAAAAUAGCCUCCGGCAACCUCCGGC
Molecule: ribosomal RNA, 433 nt
Filed under: uncultured bacterium
Lineage: Bacteria
Description: partial 16S ribosomal RNA
Rfam family: Bacterial small subunit ribosomal RNA
Source: RNAcentral